GACGUAGGGCGCGAGCGUUGUCCGGAUUUAUUGGGCGUAAAGAGCUCGUAGGCGGCUUGUCGCGUCGACUGUGAAAAACCUGUGGCUCAACUAUGGGUCUGCAGUCGAUACGGGCUAGCUAGAAUUCGGUAGGGGAGACUGGAAUUCCUGGUGUAGCGGUGAAAAUGCGCAGAUAUCAGGAGGAACACCGGUGGCGAAGGCGGGGUCUCUGGGGCAGUAACUGACGCUGAGGGACGAAAGCUAGGGGGAGCGAAAGGG
Molecule: ribosomal RNA, 258 nt
Filed under: uncultured bacterium
Lineage: Bacteria
Description: partial 16S ribosomal RNA
Rfam family: Bacterial small subunit ribosomal RNA
Source: RNAcentral